RNAcentral lists this ribosomal RNA (540 nucleotides) under uncultured bacterium. RNAcentral describes it as "bacterial SSU rRNA". It matches the Rfam family "Bacterial small subunit ribosomal RNA", at positions 355 to 896 of the family's 1533-position model. The record is from RNAcentral.
UGAGGAAUAUUGGUCAAUGGACGGAAGUCUGAACCAGCCAAGUAGCGUGCAGGAUGACGGCCCUAUGGGUUGUAAACUGCUUUUGUAUGGGGAUAAAGUUAGGGACGUGUCCCUAUUUGCAGGUACCAUAUGAAUAAGGACCGGCUAAUUCCGUGCCAGCAGCCGCGGUAAUACGGAAGGUUCAGGCGUUAUCCGGAUUUAUUGGGUUUAAAGGGAGCGUAGGCUGGAGAUUAAGUGUGUUGUGAAAUGUAGACGCUCAACGUCUGACUUGCAGCGCAUACUGGUUUCCUUGAGUACGCACAACGUUGGCGAAAUUCGUCGUGUAGCGGUGAAAUGCUUAGAUAUGACGAAGAACUCCGAUUGCGAAGGCAGCUGACGGGAGCGCAACUGACGCUUAAGCUCGAAGGUGCGGGUAUCAAACAGGAUUAGAUACCCUGGUAGUCCGCACAGUAAACGAUGGAUGCCCGCUGUUGGUACCUGGUAUCAGCGGCUAAGCGAAAGCAUUAAGCAUCCCACCUGGGGAGUACGCCGGCAACGGUG